Equus caballus (horse) is the source of this 516-nucleotide long non-coding RNA. RefSeq lists it as uncharacterized. The record is from RefSeq and is a predicted model, not a curated record. NCBI's taxonomy places the organism in Eukaryota, Metazoa, Chordata, Mammalia, Perissodactyla, Equidae.
GUCACUGUGACUCACCUCUCCCAGAGAGCAUUAGUGUGUUAGUAAUCAUAGUAAUUAGCAUUCACCUGGGGUUUUAUAAGCAGGAGGUAGCUGCGACAUAUAACUAUCUUGUGAGGUGAAGAGGCCAGGAUUAUCACGUCCAUUUUGCAAAGAGAAAAUAAAAACUCAGACGUGGUGAGUGACUCACCACGAUUGGAUCAGGAGACAGCUGUCUGAAGAAGAAUGAGAGAAGGAGUUCCUUCCACCCAGGGAACAGCAUUGUACAGCAAAUGAAAAACACCACGACGAGGCAGAGAGAGACCACAGAAGAAAGCAAUAGGUGUGCUCUGGCAACUGUCACGUUGAUUCCUGUCAGCCCCCGCCAGCCUGGGAAGUAGACUUUCACCACAAGAUGGAAAAGUAAGAGGGGAGAUUAUGAGGGGCUCCCAGCCUGCCUGACAGCAGUAGGAGAAGAGUCGGAACUCUUGGACUUUUUGCUUUGAGGCAUUUAAAUGGAAAUUAAAGUAAAUUUGCUCU